Molecule: transfer RNA, 90 nt
Filed under: Streptomyces albidoflavus
Lineage: Bacteria; Bacillati; Actinomycetota; Actinomycetes; Kitasatosporales; Streptomycetaceae
Also listed under: 2 other names
Description: tRNA-Tyr
Source: RNAcentral
GGGUUCGAGAGCCCAGCUCACACGCUGGCCGUCGCGCAGACUGUAAAUCUGCCGGCUCAGCCUUCCCAGGUUCGAAUCCUGGCGCCGCCA